This 879-nucleotide ribosomal RNA is filed under the name uncultured bacterium. Its description in RNAcentral is "bacterial SSU rRNA". It matches the Rfam family "Bacterial small subunit ribosomal RNA", at positions 8 to 916 of the family's 1533-position model. The record is from RNAcentral.
AGAGUUUGAUCAUGGCUCAGGAUGAACGCUGGCGGCGUGCCUAACACAUGCAAGUCGAGCGAUCUUCUUCGGAAGAGAGCGGCGGACGGGUGAGUAACGCGUGGGUAACCUGCCUCAUACACAUGGAUAACAUACCGAAAGGUAUGCUAAUACAAGAUGAUAUAAGAGAUUCGCAUGGAUUUCUUAUCAAAGCUCCGGCGGUAUGAGAUGGACCCGCGUCUGAUUAGCUAGUUGGUAAGGUAACGGCUUACCAAGGCGACGAUCAGUAGCCGACCUGAGAGGGUGAUCGGCCACAUUGGAACUGAGACACGGUCCAAACUCCUACGGGAGGCAGCAGUGGGGAAUAUUGCACAAUGGGCGAAAGCCUGAUGCAGCAACGCCGCGUGAGCGAUGAAGGCCUUCGGGUCGUAAAGCUCUGUCCUCAAGGAAGAUAAUGACGGUACUUGAGGAGGAAGCCCCGGCUAACUACGUGCCAGCAGCCGCGGUAAUACGUAGGGGGCUAGCGUUAUCCGGAUUUACUGGGCGUAAAGGGUGCGUAGGUGGUUUCUUAAGUCAGGAGUGAAAGGCUACGGCUCAACCGUAGUAAGCCCUUGAAACUGGGAAACUUGAGUGCAGGAGAGGAAAGUGGAAUUCCUAGUGUAGCGGUGAAAUGCGUAGAUAUUAGGAGGAACACCAGUAGCGAAGGCGGCUUUCUGGACUGUAACUGACACUGAGGCACGAAAGCGUGGGGAGCAAACAGGAUUAGAUACCCUGGUAGUCCACGCCGUAAACGAUGAGUACUAGGUGUCGGGGGUUACCCCCCUCGGUGCCGCAGCUAACGCAUUAAGUACUCCGCCUGGGGAGUACGCUCGCAAGAGUGAAACUCAAAGGAAUUGACGG